This 67-nucleotide transfer RNA is filed under the name Marmota monax (woodchuck). Its description in RNAcentral is "tRNA.Val". Lineage: Eukaryota; Metazoa; Chordata; Mammalia; Rodentia; Sciuridae. The record is from RNAcentral.
GGUUGUAGCUCAGUGGUAGAGUGCUUGCUUAACACUUGUAAGGCACUGGGUUGGAUCCUCAGAACCA